This 468-nucleotide ribosomal RNA is filed under the name uncultured bacterium. RNAcentral's name for it is "partial 16S ribosomal RNA". The stretch from base 58 to 468 matches the Rfam family "Bacterial small subunit ribosomal RNA", at positions 39 to 507 of the family's 1533-position model. The record is from RNAcentral.
GGGGGGGGGGGGGGGGGGGGGGGGGGCGGGGGGGGCGGGCGGGGGGGCCCGGCUGGUGUGGGGUGCUCGGGUGGCGAGCGGGUGAGUAACCCGUGAGUAACCUGCCCUUGACUUUGGGCUAACUUCAGGCAACUGGGGCUACUACCGGAUAGGAGCUCCUGCUGCAUGGUGGGGGUUGGAACGUUUCGGCGGUUGGGGAUGGACUCGCGGCUUAUCAGCUUGUUGGUGGGGUAGUGGCUUACCAAGGCUUUGACGGGUAGCCGGCCUGAGAGGGUGACCGGCCACAUUGGGACUGAGAUACGGCCCAGACUCCUACGGGAGGCAGCAGUGGGGAAUAUUGCACAAUGGGCGGAAGCCUGAUGCAGCAACGCCGCGUGCGGGAUGACGGCCUUCGGGUUGUAAACCGCUUUCGCCUGUGACGAAGCGUGAGUGACGGUAAUGGGUAAAGAAGCACCGGCUAACUACGUG